Molecule: long non-coding RNA, 1883 nt
Organism: Populus trichocarpa (black cottonwood)
Lineage: Eukaryota; Viridiplantae; Streptophyta; Magnoliopsida; Malpighiales; Salicaceae
Exons: 5
Source: RefSeq, a predicted model, not a curated record
AAAAAGAAUAAAAUAAAAGAACUCCUAACCCUUUAUGUGUUCAUUUGUGAGCAUGAUCAAAUGAGUGGAUAUUUCCGAACCUCCUCAAGAAUCUCCUCAACGCAGCGAUGAUAUGCUAAAUGUUCAGAUUCAGUAGUCACCGUGAUGUUUAUUAUAGCCUAUAGUGUAAUUAUAUUUUGUUUCUUUUUCCACGACUCCAUUCCAUAUUACUCUAGGAUGAGAUAAUUGCUUAGAAAUUAAUCUCUGCAAUCCUUUAACAUGUUUGCACAAAGUUGAUUUUUUUUUUCUUUUUUCUUUCUGUAGCUAUAUUGCCUCGAUGUUUUUUCAGUAUCUCAUCUAAAGUUUUCUCAAAUCUGAUUAUUAAUAUAUCUCUCUCACCUCAUCUAUACAUGGACAUCUUAGCCCCUUGUUGGUAUUUCAGAUUCUUAGGCUUAAUUAAGUUCCAGUACAGUGCCUAUGUGAUCUUUUGUGCAGGCCACCCAUGGAUCGUGGAUGACAGGAUUUCCCUAGAUAAACCUCUUGAUUCUGCUAUUUUAUCGCACCUGAAGCAGUUCUCUGAAACGAACAAGCUUAAGAAGAUGGAUUUGCAUAUGAGACUGUUCAUGCUAAUAGAGUACAGAUGCACGUGGACCAACUUGCUCACACAUGUCAUAGCAGAGAGGCUUUCUGAAGAAGAGAUGGGUGGUUGGAAAGGCUUGUUCAAAAUGAUAGACACAGACAACAGUGAAACAAUAAUUUUGAUGAAUUAAAAGACGACUUAAAAUGAGUAGCUCUGAACUAAUGGAGUCUGAGAUAAAGGAUACGAUGGAUGCUGCUGAUAUUGACCACAGUGGAGCAAUUGAUUGUGGUGAAUUUCACUUGAAUAAAUUGGAGAGAGGAGAAUUUAGCAUCUGCUUUCUCAUUCUCUGAUAAAGAUGGUAGUGGUUACAUAAGUAUUGAUGAGCUUCAACAAGCCUACGAAGAGCUUUGCUUAAUGAUGGAGAAAUAGACUAUGGUGAUGCAUUGAUGAGGAAGGGAGACGGAGAACAAUGAGAAGCACAGUUAAUUUGGGAGAUGCUUUAGGAAUGGCUGCCCUUUUAUUAUCAUGUGUUUUGGUAAAUAAACUACCAUCAACAAGAAUGGUAUGAUGAUUUACAAUUUGUUGUUAGAGUAUCGUCUGGAGGAACAGUAGCUAGUCUUACACGGUGUAUUCUUGAAGGCAUUGAUCAUAUUCAUAGGCAGGGUUAUGUUCAUUGUGAAUUGAAUUCUGAGUACAUCUUGCUCGUGUUGCUGGCAUUAGGAGUGUUGAAUUUGUGGCAAAGAUUAGAGAUUUUGGCUUGGCAAAGAAAGCGGAGAACAACAAAAAAAGCAAGUAUCUUCUUCCUUAUCUCAGGGGGGCUGCUUUUUGUAUGUGGAUGCUUACAGGGAAUCCAGUUUGGGAUUUCAAUCCUGAAACCACCACAGAAGAACUUCUGAGAAAGAUUGCCGAAAAUUCCUCCUUUUGUGUCAGGAAUUGAUAACAAAGAAUUGGCGGGCCUUUCAGAUGCGGAAGGGGUGGCAGACGAUGAAUUCAGUCCUUCGUCCUGUUCUAAAGAAUGGAAUUUCACCUCAGAAGAGGAGGUUUCUUCUCUCUCAUCUUGGUCAGAUGAUCCAGAAGAAAGUCUUAGCACUACUGGCUCUACCUUUAUUACCAGAGAUGUUCUUGCAUCAGAAUCCAUGGCACAGGUUUCAGCUUAGCUACUAGCAGCAACAUUGCUGCUGUUGUACAAGAGGGAGAUUUUUCUCCACUGAAUUGGUUGGUUGCUUAGAUCAGUAAGCACUAAAAACACAGAAUUUGUGUGAGAUGUCGAGUGUAUACUCUUUUGAAAAAGCAGAGCAUAUAUCUUUUAUUCCUUCUUCUUUAA